CACGGGGGUUGCGAGCGUUGUCCGGAAUUACUGGGCGUAAAGAGCUCGUAGGUGGUUUGUCACGUCGUCUGUGAAAUUCCGGGGCUUAACCUCGGGCGUGCAGGCGAUACGGGCAAUACUUGAGUGCUGUAGGGGAGACUGGAAUUCCUGGUGUAGCGGUGAAAUGCGCAGAUAUCAGGAGGAACACCAAUGGCGAAGGCAGGUCUCUGGGCAGUUACUGACGCUGAGGAGCGAAAGCAUGGGUAGCGAACAGGAUUAGAUA
This 262-nucleotide ribosomal RNA is filed under the name uncultured prokaryote. RNAcentral's name for it is "partial 16S ribosomal RNA". It matches the Rfam family "Bacterial small subunit ribosomal RNA", at positions 524 to 784 of the family's 1533-position model. The record is from RNAcentral.